UACGAGGGGUGCAAGCGUUAUUCGGAAUCAUUGGGCGUACAGGGUGCGUAGACGGCAUGUUAAGUCAACUGUUAAAUUCCCCGGCCUAACUGGGGGCAUGCAGUAGAUACUGGCAAGCUCGAGGAUGGAAGAGAGAAGUGGAAUUCUCGGAGUAGCGGUAAAAUGCGUAGAUCUCGAGAGGAACACCGAUGGCGAAGGCAGCUUCUUGGUCCAUACCUGACGUUGAGGCACGAAAGCGUGGGGAGCAAACAGG
RNAcentral lists this ribosomal RNA (253 nucleotides) under uncultured bacterium. Its description in RNAcentral is "partial 16S ribosomal RNA". It matches the Rfam family "Bacterial small subunit ribosomal RNA", at positions 524 to 776 of the family's 1533-position model. The record is from RNAcentral.